Molecule: ribosomal RNA, 878 nt
Filed under: uncultured bacterium
Lineage: Bacteria
Description: bacterial SSU rRNA
Rfam family: Bacterial small subunit ribosomal RNA
Source: RNAcentral
AGAGUUUGAUCUGGCUCAGCCUGAACGCUGGCGGCGUGGCUAAGACAUGCAAGUCGUACGGGUGUAGCAAUACACCAGUGGCGGACGGGUGAGUAAUGUAUCGCUAACGUACCCCGGAUUCUGGGAUAGCUGCCCGAAAGGGCAGGUAAUACCGGAUGAUAUAUCCUUUUCGCAUGAAGAGGAUCUCAAAGGGAAACCGUUCUGGGAGCGGGCGAUAUCGUAUCAGCUAGUUGGUGAGGUAACGGCUCACCAAGGCGACGACGCGUAGCCGGACUGAGGGGUUGGCCGGCCACAUUGGGACUGAGACACUGCCCAGACUCCUACGGGGGGCUGCAGUAACGAAUCUUCCGCAAUGCACGCAAGUGUGACGGAGCGACGCCGCGUGUGGGACGAAGUCCUUCGGGAUGUAAACCACUGUCAGGGGUUAGAAAGUUCUGAUCAACCCCAGAGGAAGGCACGGCUAACUCUGUGCCAGCAGCCGCGGUAAGACAGAGGUGCCAAGCGUUAGGCGGAAUCACUGGGCUUAAAGCGUGUGUAGGUGGACUGGUAAGUACUUUGUGAAAUCCCACGGCUUAACCGUGGAACUGCUUGGUAUACUGCCGGUCUUGAGCAACCUAGGGGCGAGUGGAACAAAUGGUGGAGCGGUGAAAUGCGUAGAUAUCAUUUGGAACGCCAAUGGUGAAAACAACUCGCUGGGGGUUUGCUGACACUGAGACACGAAAGCCAGGGGAGCAAACGGGAUUAGAUACCCCGGUAGUCCUGGCCGUAAACGAUGUCCACUAGAUCGCAGUACCUCUGACGGUAUUGCGGUCGAAGCCAAAGUGCUAAGUGGACCGCCUGGGAAGUACGGUCGCAAGGCUAAAACUCAAAGGAAUGAC